AUCUGAGACAACACUUGGAUUUUACCUAGGUGGAAAACAUGGAAAAAACUGGACUUGGACAUGAGGAAUUACAGAAUUGCCAAGGAGAAUAUUAAUAAUUAAGUUUGGGGUGGUUUUUUUUAUUCUUAUCUACCAAAACGUUCCCCACACGUGACAAGCAUUCCCAUUUCUCAACCAGAGACACUGAGGCACAAGAACCGACUUGUCUAAAACGACUCGACGCGGCAGACAGGAAUGGCAGCCGAGCCCCGAGCACCCACAUACCAGGCUCCUCGGUAAACCCCUCCUCGUCCCCCCAGCAGCACCUCUCGUGUCGAGGCAGAUGUCUGGGGCUGAGGCGAGGGCUGCUGUCCGCUGGCGCCGGCGUCGCCCUCCUCGGCGCUGCAGGGCCGCCGAGGGCGUCCAUCUUGUUUCACCUCAGGUUGUUCCCUGGAGCUUUCUGUCCACAUUAUAUUGAAGACUCCUGUGAUAAACCCAGAAGAAUUCCUAAAGCAAGGUGGUGCAUUGAGCGUGUAAUUUAGCUCACAGGUGAUCUGUAACUUCAGAGUAAAAGAUAGGCCAUGGCACAAAGACUUUACACUACUGAACUGAAGAUCUGAAGAACUGGGAGUGGGAUGCAGACACAUGAAGAGUUUGAUGACUGCUAUUCAUGUAAGGUUUGUUUUUCCUUCAAUUUUUUAGUGAUCUAGUAGUUUUGUUUGUUGUUUUGUUAGUCUGCGUAACAGUAAAUGUUUUGGAGUAAGCUUCCAAUGUUUUGUAUUUGAUUCUGAUGUAUUGAUGAGUGAUUGAAAAAAAAAAACACACAAUAAUGGAAAACCAGAAUUUUGUGCUUGGAAAACCUAUAAACAACUCUUGAUUUCUAAGGACAAAUUUUUAAUGUGACAUUUUGCUAUGCCUAUGCCAGAGUCUGUUUUCAUGUUGGCUUUAGUCAUUUUGUUGCUAUAUGUUAAAUAGCAAGAUAUGAAGUUUUGAUAAUAUUUUAGUGAAAAAAUUAUGUAGAUCUUUGUCUAAUUUGUAAAUAAGUGACUAGGUGUUUGGAUAGAGCAGUUAUUGCGUUAUGCUAGUUUAAUUCCCCAUGAAGGAAUUACUGCAUUUUAGAGAAAAAUAACUUAGAAAUAACUUCUGAAAACCUUGCUAUGGUGCUCAUCUGUACCUUUGGGGACCUAAAUAUCUUUUAAAAUUUGAACUGGUUAUAUGCAAGAGUUUUCUCUAAGAUUGAUACAACCUAUGUGGAGAUCAGCCCUGAUAUAAAUAGGCACACUUACUUGAAUGAACUUCUGCCUGUCUGUGUUUGUCCCAAAGACUUAAGCAGACUGCCUUCAAGGAGCCUUGUAAUUGCUCCCGUAUCAAAGUGUGGUGCUGUAACCUACAACGAUGAGUUACUGCUAAUCUGUUAACAGAAGAUCUUGUAGGCGGAAAUCUGUAUAAAAGUCCUACAGACCAAUAUAUUAACGGAAUAAUAGUAAUUCUUGGAAUAUACAAAGAGUUCUUCACCCAUGGUGUCUAAAGCCUUAUUACUAAGGAGUGUGUAUCAUUAUUUUCAUUAACAGAUGGAGAAAGUGAAGCGCAAAAAAGUCAAGGGUUAUGUAGAAAGAGGUCUGCUUAGGCAAUUUUGCAAAACCUGUAGUUUGAAUCAGUAAUAAAGAAAAUGAUAGAAACA
Molecule: long non-coding RNA, 1660 nt
Organism: Apteryx owenii (little spotted kiwi)
Lineage: Eukaryota; Metazoa; Chordata; Aves; Apterygiformes; Apterygidae
Source: Ensembl